This is a long non-coding RNA of Rhinolophus ferrumequinum (greater horseshoe bat), 483 nucleotides long. RefSeq lists it as uncharacterized. NCBI's taxonomy places the organism in Eukaryota, Metazoa, Chordata, Mammalia, Chiroptera, Rhinolophidae. The record is from RefSeq and is a predicted model, not a curated record. The transcript has 4 exons.
UGGGCAAAUUUAAGGAGUCCUUUAUAGUCCAUUUGCGGAACCUUGUUGCUGUAACAGCACUGACUAUCUCACCAGCACCAGCACCAAAAUUGAUGACCAUCCACUUCAUGGCUGAUUAUCUUGCCAUCUUUGAGUGUCAGCAGUGUGACUGUGGUGUGCCUAGGUGUGGCUUUUUUUGUGUUCAUCCUCUUUUCAGGAGGUGGACCUCUAGAUUGCAGAUGAGGAAACCAGGACACAGAAUGUUAAGAAGCUUGCCCAAGAUCCCACAGCUGGUAGUGGCAGAGCUGCUAUUAGAAUUCAGGAAGACUGACUCCAGAAUCUGGCACCUGAGUGUCCUAGUCUGCUAACAUGGAGUCCCAGGAUUCACGAUAGACUCCUAGACUCAUCAAAUCAUCCUGGCAUAUGCUUUCUCCUUCACUGUUUUGAUACUGAAAGGGAAUACCACACUGCCUAGCACAAUGUUUGCACAGCGUGCCUGCGGCU